CUAAAAAAUAGGUUGUUAGUCAUAUCUCCAAGAAAUUAUUUAGGACAUAUCAAUAACAACUAGACUUGUUAAAAGCUAGCACUCCUGAUAGGUCUAAUUGCUCAUGGAAGGAGGCUCAAGUAAAUAUCCAGCUGGAUUGAUUGAAUAAAGCCAUAUAUAGGCACUUACUAACAAGAAUAUAUCCCAGAAAGUAGAAUUCACAGGCAGUCAAACCAACAGUUUAAUUAUUAAUAAAAAUUUCACCACAUGAUGCUUCCAUUAGGACUUUGAAACAUCUGAAUUCAAAGAAAUGUCAGAGAACAAAAGAACUUACAUGCCUGUCAAAUCUACCAGGCCUGGUCAAAGCUGGAUCAAGAAUAUCAGGCAAGUUUGUUGCAGCCAUCAAUAUUAUUCCCUGCAAGUAAAAAUUGCACAAAAUUCAGAAAAGUACCAAGAAAAUUCAUUUAUGCAGCAAACUUCAGAAAUGCUAAGCUUGUUAUCAUGUACCUCAUUUUGUUCAAAACCAUCCAUUUCAACUAAUAGUUGGUGCAAAGUUUUCUUUGUAUGGCCUUCCCAUUGUUUUCGUGUAGA
Molecule: unclassified non-coding RNA, 570 nt
Filed under: Hevea brasiliensis (rubber tree)
Lineage: Eukaryota; Viridiplantae; Streptophyta; Magnoliopsida; Malpighiales; Euphorbiaceae
Source: RNAcentral